GCAAGUCGAGCGAUUUACUUCGGUAAAGAGCGGCGGACGGGUGAGUAACGCGUGGGUAACCUGCCCUAUACACACGGAUAACAUACCGAAAGGUAUGCUAAUACGGGAUAACAUAAGAGAUUCGCAUGGAUUUCUUAUCAAAGCUUUUGCGGUAUAGGAUGGACCCGCGUCUGAUUAGCUAGUUGGUAAGGUAACGGCUUACCAAGGCGACGAUCAGUAGCCGACCUGAGAGGGUGAUCGGCCACAUUGGAACUGAGACACGGUCCAAACUCCUACGGGAGGCAGCAGUGGGGAAUAUUGCACAAUGGGCGAAAGCCUGAUGCAGCAACGCCGCGUGAGCGAUGAAGGCCUUCGGGUCGUAAAGCUCUGUCCUCAAGGAAGAUAAUGACGGUACUUGAGGAGGAAGCCCCGGCUAACUACGUGCCAGCAGCCGCGGUAAUACGUAGGGGGCUAGCGUUAUCCGGAAUUACUGGGCGUAAAGGGUGCGUAGGUGGUUUCUUAAGUCAGAGGUGAAAGGCUACGGCUCAACCGUAGUAAGCCUUUGAAACUGAGAAACUUGAGUGCAGGAGAGGAGAGUAGAAUUCCUAGUGUAGCGGUGAAAUGCGUAGAUAUUAGGAGGAAUACCAGUUGCGAAGGCGGCUCUCUGGACUGUAACUGACACUGAGGCACGAAAGCGUGGGGAGCAAACAGGAUUAGAUACCCUGGUAGUCCACGCCGUANACGAUGAGUACUAGCUGUCGGNGGUUACCCCCUUCGGUGGCG
Molecule: ribosomal RNA, 762 nt
Filed under: uncultured bacterium
Lineage: Bacteria
Description: bacterial SSU rRNA
Rfam family: Bacterial small subunit ribosomal RNA
Source: RNAcentral